Molecule: non-coding RNA, 599 nt
Organism: Oryctolagus cuniculus (rabbit)
Lineage: Eukaryota; Metazoa; Chordata; Mammalia; Lagomorpha; Leporidae
Source: RefSeq, a predicted model, not a curated record
GCUUGGUGCUGCCUGGGUCCUCGCACGCUGUGCAUUGUGGGCAGGUGGCUUCACCUCUCUGGGUCCAGGUGCAUUGUGGGCAGGUGGCUUCACCUCUCUGGGUCCAGGUGCAUUGUGGGCAGGCGGCUUCACCUCUGUGUGUCCAGGUGCAUUGUGGGCAGGCGGCUUCACCUCUCUGGGUCCAGGUGCAUUGUGGGCAGGCGGCUUCACCUCUGUGUGUCCAGGUGCAUUGUGGGCAGGCGGCUUCACCUCUGUGUGUCCAGGUGCAUUGUGGGCAGGCGGCUUCACCUCUCUGGGUCCAGGUGCAUUGUGGGCAGGCGGCUUCACCUCUCUGGGUCCAGGUGCAUUGUGGGCAGGCGGCUUCACCUCUGUGUGUCCAGGUGCAUUGUGGGCAGGCGGCUUCACCUCUCUGGGUCCAGGUGCAUUGUGGGCAGGCGGCUUCACCUCUCUGGGUCCAGGUGCCCCCUGCACACUGCUGUUUGCUUUCCCCUGACUGGUCCCCUCUGGUCUGACCCCUUUCUCCUACGCAAUGUACCUCCCUUCUCAGAAGUCGUUAAAAUCAGUACCAGACACCAGUUAGGCCUUGGACGUCAUUCUCA